GGUGGUUCUCGGGUAACGCACCCCGGAAUCAGGCGCCCUCCUCUCUGGUUCUGGGUACGUCACCCAAGAACCACA
Myotis davidii is the source of this 75-nucleotide non-coding RNA. The record is from Rfam. Lineage: Eukaryota; Metazoa; Chordata; Mammalia; Chiroptera; Vespertilionidae.